This is a long non-coding RNA of Cavia porcellus (domestic guinea pig), 10531 nucleotides long. RefSeq lists it as uncharacterized. The record is from RefSeq and is a predicted model, not a curated record. The transcript is spliced from 5 exons. NCBI's taxonomy places the organism in Eukaryota, Metazoa, Chordata, Mammalia, Rodentia, Caviidae.
AUAAUGAGAGCUCCACAAUGAAAAGAGACAAUGUCCCAUCCAGCUCAGGGCGACUGCCCAGCCUCCUUUCCUCUUGUCUAGCGGCUGCCCAUUGCCUGCCAGGCGCUCCCGGGCCAGCCGGGCUUCCUGCCUGCUGUCCUGUCCAGCCCCAUCCAGCCCGGUACUCACUGCGCAAAGGACUCAUGCUGAGCCGGCGGUGCAGACGGAGCUGCAGCUGAUCGCGGACCGGGAAUUCUGAAGCCAUUGGUACAACACCAUCGUGAAGACAUUUAAAUUUUUUCAUGGUGGAAAACAGACAGAGGAAAUGGACAGAUUUCUAGAAUCAUAUGAAUUACCAAAGCUCAAUCAAGAAGAUAUAACAAUUUUGAAUAACCCAAUACCACCUGCUACUUGAAAAUGUGAUUAAAAACUUACCAACAACAACAAAAAGCUCAGGUCCUGAUGGAUUCAUGGCUGAAUUCUACAAGAAAUUUAGAGAAGUUUUAACAUCAACACUCCUCAGACUCUUCAAUGAAAUUGAAAAGGAAACAAGUCUCCCUAACUCAUUCCUGGAGGCAAGUAUUACUCUGAUACCAAAAACAGAGAAAGAUCCAACCAAAAAGGAGAACUAUAGGCCAAUCUCUCUAAUGAACAUUGAUGCAAAGAUUCGCAAUAAAAUAUUGGCAAAUAGAACACAGCAAAUCAUCAAAAAGAUUAUACAUCACAACCAAGUGGGAUUCAUUCCAGAAUGCAGGGAUGGUUUAACAUACAGCAGUCAAUAAAUGUAAUACAUCACAUCAACAGAGUCAGAAACAAAAACCAUAUGAUCAUCUCAAUAGAUGCAGAAAAAACUUUUUAUAAAGUCCAACACUUGCUCAUGGUAAAAACUACAGAAACUCGAAAUAGAUGGUAACUACCUCAAUCUGAUAAAGGCCAUCUCUAACAGACCAACAGCCAACAUUAUACUAAACGGACAAAAACUGAAAGCUUUCACUAUAAAAUCAGGAACAAAAUAAGGAUGUCCACAAUCACCACUCCUAUUCAAUAUAGUUCUGGAAAAAUUAGCCAGAGCAAUUAACAAGAGAGAGAAAUAAAAGGAAUAAGGAUAGGAAAGGAAGAAGUUAAAUUAUCACUAUUUGCAGAUAAUGAUACUCUACAUAAAAGACCCCAAAAACUCCACUAAAAUACUACUAGAGGUAAUAUACAAAUUCAGCAGUAAAGCUGGAUACAAAGUCAAUGCUUAAAAAUCAAUAGCAUUCUUGUACACAAACAACAAACUCACUGACAGAAAUUAUGGAAAUAUUGCCUUUCACAAUAGCAACUAAAAAAAUGAAAUACUUAGGAAUCAACCUAACCAAGAAUGUAAAAGUCCUAUAUGCUGAAAAUAAUACUUCUCUUAAAAAGGGGAUUGAAGAGGACAUCAAAAAAUGGAAGGAUAUUCCUUACUCUUCAUUAAGAAGAACCAACAUUGUGAAAAUGGCCAUACUGCCAAAACUGUUAUACAGAUUUAAUGCAAUCCUAAUAAAAAUACCAUUAACAUACCUUACAGACCUAGAGAAAACAUUCCUAAAAUUCAUUUGGUGACAGAAGAAAUGUAGAAUAGCAAAGGCAAUUCUGGGCAACAAAGGCAAAGUAGGAGGCAUCUCAAUUCCUGAUGAAAUUAUACUACAAAGCUACAGUGAUAAAAUCAGUAUGGUAUUAGCAAAGAAAUAGAGCUGAGGAUUAAUGGAACAGAUUAGAAGAUGCAAACACAAUUAUAAAGGCACUCAGUCACCUUAUAUUUGACAAAGAACCUAAACAUAUCCACUGGAAGAAGGAUAGCCUCUUUAAUAAAUGAUGUUGGAAAAAUUGUCUUUCUAUCUGCUGAAGACUGACACUAGAUCCAUGCCUAUCACCAUGCACUAAAGUCAAAAAAGGAUCAAAGAUCUCAAUACUAUGUACAAUACUAGCUGUAUUGUACAGAAACUGUCAACUAGUUUCCCUUGCAUGAACUUUAAAAUUUACUACUUCAUUUAAUCUAUUAAUGUGACAAAUCUGAAUUGAUGAUCACAAAUUACAUAGUAUUUAACUAAUAGCAAUUAAAAGCCAGCCACUAAAAGUGUUCUGUAUUCCUUCUUGCAACAACUAGCCAGCUAAGCAACGAACAAACCUGUAGCAAAUGGACGUUGUAAUCACUUUUUCCAAGAUAUGUAUGCACAGAAUAAAUACAAGCAAAGGCUGCAUUCUCAGUGAAAAGUGUCCUUAGUGUGUGUGAUUGACAAGAAAGAAGAUUCUGGAUUCCUAGAAAACAAUUUUUGGGGCUAUGUUGAUUCUUAUUCUGAAUGUUUACGUGAUGUACAAUAUAUUUUUGGAAGGUAUUUUUGUCUCAGUGUUUCUUUCUACAAAUGUAAUGCUUUGGUAUUUCCACAAUAUCCCUCCUUCACCAGCAGAUGGAGAGCAUUUCAACUCAGCGCUGAAUGGACCAUGUCGUGCAAGUAGUUUGUGUGGAUUUGAAACUGAAGGAUGCAUGAAGCAUUCAGAGACUUAAUACCUGGAAAAGAGAUUCUCCGUCUUUCAUAUUUUUUACAGACACUGAUAUUUGUAAACUUAAUAAACUUUAGAAGCUGCUACAUGUUUUCCAGUACAUGUUGAACAAUAAAGAUUGAGGAGUUGUUUUCUUAAGUCACCAAAAACAGCUGUUACAAAAAUGUUGAACUAAAAUUCUUUUUUUAAAUUUUUGUCUUUUUCCUUUUUAUCAGUACCGGGGAUCGAACUCACAACUGCCUGCUUGCAAGGCAGGUGCUUAUGCCGCUGAGCUAAACCUCCAGCCCCUAAAAUUCUUCAUAAAUUUUCCAUGAGUAGAUAUUAUUGUUACUGUUUUUCAAAUAGACACUUUUAGGCUCUGAAGAUAAUGUGAGGGCUACAGAUGUAGCACAGUGGUUGCCUAAUUAGUGAAAAGCGCCUCGGUUACUUUUCUGUUGUUGCUCGGUUAUGCUGGGACCCAUCAUCCAAAACGAAAGAAGGAAAGGUUAAUUUAGCUCACUGUUUGUGGAGAUUUCAGUCCGUAAUCAAUUGGCUCCAGAGCAGGGUGACAUGGCACUGGGGCGACACUUCAAGACAGCAGCAAGCAAAAGAGCAGGAGCAAAAGGGAGCAAGAGCAAGCCUCUCGGAGAGACGAGGAAACUGAGCAACAGAGAGUCUACAUCAGUCCUGAAAGGUCCUUUGCAGGAGUGAGGAAGGACUAACCCGAAGGAAAGUCAUGGGUUACUGGAGCUGUCAUCUUGCAAAGAGCCUGACUGUCACUAAAAAAAAGAUCAUCCAUCAGCCACAAAGCAAAUCUGCUCAGUUGGGUUCGGGACAAGGGUUCCUAGCUGCCAGUAGGCCAAGCAGCUGCCCUGAGCCCCUAACCAACUGCCCUUGGGCUGCGAUCUGGGAUGCUCAGGCUGCUGCACCUGGAAGUCAUGGAGCAGUUUCCCAGGCUGGUGCCAGACUGCACAGAGACACGCUCUGCUCUGGGGCUGAAGGAGCCGUCCUGCCAGGGCAGUGCCUUUUUGGCUCUGUUUAUUAUGGAGCCACGAAACAGAGAGUGCUGCAGUGGCUAUCAUUUCUGAUGGUGACCAUCCAGAUCUAAACCCUCUGCUUAGGGGUCAAGGGUCUCCCAAGCCUCUCCCAGGGACCAUGAGGAUAGGGGAGCAGAUACCAGUGGUACCCCAAGUGCAUCUUCAUUCCACACCAGUGGACUCACACAGCACAGUUGUUGGAAACAAAACCCUGGGGAUUAUAUGAAAGUAUUGGUGUUAAUUAAUGGCUUAAUAUGUGAAAGAUACACAUGCAAAUAUAAUUAUUUAAAAAUUACUGGAUUUUUGAAAUAUUAAUUCAUGCCCAGUGAGGAAGCAUAAUGAAAAAUAUUAUUACAUUCCCAAUACCAACAACAGCGGUGAAACAGCUAAAAAUAAUAUGACAAAUCUGAAAGAAGGCUGGGAUUGUACCUUAGUCAGUGGUAGAGCGCUUGUCUAGCGUGUGCAAGACCCUGAGUCUGAUUGCUAAUACUGCAAAGAGAAAAAAAGAUUAUAUGAACACAUGACAAGGUUUUAUUGUAAGAUAUAAAAGAAGACUUCAGUAGAGCCAUUCUAUCCUUGUAGAUGGAAGAAUUGAAUAUAUUAAAGCUGUCAAGUCUACCAAGCUCCCUUAUGAUAUAACUCCCAAUAAAAAUACUAGUGGUUUUUUAAAAAAAAAAAAUGUAACAAAAUCAUUCUAAAAUACAUGUGAAGAAUAAAUAGGCAAAUGUAAAUAAUAUAUAUGAGGGGAAUAGAACUAGUGGCUGAGAGGGAUUAGCUUUCCCAGAAAGUAAAGCACAACAGAAAAUAAUAGCUUUAUUAACUGUUUUCCUUUCUGGAAUAACUUAAAACAGAAUACACAGACCAGAAGCAUCCCGUGGAGUGUGUAAGGUGAUAAUGAUAAAGAUAGCAUCACGGAACUGGAAGGAGAAGAAAGAUUCUCCACUGAGUGGUGGUGGGCGGGAUGCGUUAGUGCAGGGGAUACAGAACUGUUUUGCUGAGUGUGUUUCUAUGUGCAAAGCUUUCAAAAAGAGUCAUACUUUGAAUGCCUCUCCUAAGCCUUUUUUCCCCUCCUCGCUGGAUCAGAAAGAGAGAAAUUAAUGAGCUUAGAAGAAAGUAUGUGGCUCAGGCCUCUUCUCUCUCUCUGGAAUCUGUCUGCCUGCACAGUGUGUGUGUACUGGUCAGCCCUCUGCUUGUUGUUGCCUUUGGAGAUUUGCAGGGCUCCAGCAUGGCUGGGGAUUGAUUGCAUACACAGAAAUCUGGGGGUAAGAUGUAUUGGCUAACUAUUAUAUAUAACUAAAAUUACAUGUUUUAAGCUGCUUUAAUUUAAAAGAAGGAAGACAAUUGCUAUCUAUGUUUACCCUAUUUACCUUUCAGUUUUGGGGACUGAACCCAUAGCCUCACAUUUGCUAAGCCCACAAUUUACCACUCAGCUACAUUGUCAGCCCCUAAACUUAUUCAUUGGUUUCUAAUUCAUGAAGCAUGUUAUUUGUUGGUCUACUAAAACUAUGAAAAUGGUGUAAUUGGUUGGCUGGUUGGGGAUAACUUAUAUAGUAACACAUAUGAAUAAGUGAAAAAUAAUCUUUACAAAUCUUAAACUAUGAAAAAAGAAAAACUCAGAGGCAAUACUAAGUUUCUAGAUCAGGAAAGACUCUGUAAAACAAAGAGAAAGAUACCCUAAUCGAAGCUACAUAGUUUCACAAAGACAGAGUGAAAUGACAAUUUUUCCAGCAAAAGUUAUGUAAAAUUACUGUGUGAAAUGUAUCAACAACACAAACAAUGUAGUUAAGAAAAUACAUACUUUCACAAAAAGAAAGGUACAAAUAUGUGAAAAAUAGUACAUAGAGAAGCAAUCAAAGGAAUACAAUUAAAAUAAAGUACAUUCUAUAAAGUUAAAAACGUAUCAACUAAGGGUACCUAAUCCGAGUGUGGGUAAAAUGAAAUGGUCACUGUGACUGACAGAAACAUAUGUCAGUACAACCUUUCUGAAAAUUAAUUUGAUAAAAUUUAUUGUAAUUCAUCAAACAUUUGUACCUUUUGACCCCAAUAAAUUUAAGAAUCCACCCUAAGGAAUUUUCAGAAAUGUAAAGGAAGGGUUAUGUUGUAAAGUUUUUGUUUAUUAAAAUAAAGGCAAAGAUAUAUGUAUGUCCAACAUUAGUAAAGGUUAAGUACAUUGUCAUAUAAUAAAACAUGGAGUCAUUAAGUUUACAAAGUGCUUGUUAAACUUAUCUGAGAGCAUGAAGAAAAGAAAUAAAACUUGGAACUCCUUUGUUUUAGAAAUUCCUUAAGACAGCUUAUGAGUGUAUUUAAAAUUCAGCAAGAUUGCUUAAAUUUGAAGUAGAUGAGGAGAACAGCCCAUCAAAGAAAGGACAAAAUAGCUUCAAAGAAACCAUUGGAAAAACUUAAAUAAAUUGCCAGAGUCUGAAUUUUGGUUUUGCGUGAGAUAAAAAUCUGAUUUAGGCAAAUCCAAAAAGGAAUUGGUUGGGAAGGUGACAGGAGAUAGACACAAGGACUGGUAGGCAAGACUAGACCAAAUGAGACAAUUUUGUCCUGGGUCCAUUGUCACCAGAGGGGGGAAUUCCUGAGCUUGGAAUUCAAGAGAUGCACAGCACCAUUGUUGUCUUAAACUGUCUCCCUUUCCUCAGUAAUCUAUUUCUAAAGUUUUCGAUGAUACACAUCUGCAUAGGUACAGUGCUUGUGCUCUCUGCUUUGAUUUUACAGCAAGUGUUGGACAACAUAGUAAAAGUUAGGAGUGAUAAAAAAUGAAUCGAGUGACUUUAUACCAUCCCAGAUGACAUACAUAGGAAAAAAAGAGGGUAGAAGAAGGCACCGAAUUACCUACUGUGACUGGUGUAGUGGGAUACACGACAACUUAGUUUUUGGUUACUUAUGGACAAAGGAUUCAAACACAGCUAACGUGUGUAAAGCUGCAAAGGUAUGAAAAUAUACUCAGGAUCACUAAUGACCAAAGAAAUGACAAAUAAAACUUUAAGAAUGUGUCUUUUUGUUUAGUAGGCAGACAACUUCUAAUAAUGGUUUAUAAUGUAGAACUAAAAAAUAAUGGUAUCAAAGAAAUCAUCAAUGAAAUUGUUUGACAAAAUUUCCUAGAAAUAAGGGAAACUGAGAGUUCAUUGAGUAGCCAUCAGCGUAGAUGAAAAUAGAUUCCCAUCAGCUCAUGAUCUCAGGCAAUUUCACAGCACAGGACAAAGAAAAGACACCACAAGAGCAUGUGCUGCAGAAGUGAGCGCGAGAUCCUGCCUGUGUCAGGGAGAAAGAGAAGAUGCAUCAGGGACUCUGGGCAGCUCGGCAGCAAACUGAAAGCUCGAAGAUAGCAGAGGAAUAGCCUCAAAACUAUCAGAAGGAAACUGAUUUCCAGGCUUUAAUUUUAUACCAACAAAAUCAGCUAUCAAUUGAGAUUAAGAUAGACGUUUUAAGAGUUCACAAAUUUAAUUCUGAUUUGUUUUCUCUCCCUUCUUCCUGCCCUCUCUCAUUCCUUCCCUUCUCCCCUUUCCCCUCCUUCUCCUUCUCCUUUCUUUUCUCCUGGGUAUUGAAUCCAGAGCCUUUUCCACGCUAAGAACACUCUGCCACCCUGUGCCAUCCCACCUUGAUUCUUUUUUUUCCUCAGGAGGGCUAUUGAAGGAUGUGUGCCUCAAAAACUACGGAGUAAAGCAAGAAAGAAGAGAGCUAGAAAAUGAAUCAGGGAAAGAUACUACAGUGAUGUUACAGAAAGACCCUACAAGAUAAGUCAGCUCAUAUUAGAACAGGUCAGAAACCUCUGAAAGAAAAUGCUGGGGCUGGGGAUUUAGCUCAGCGGCAUAAGCACCUGCCUUACAAGCAGGCGGUCGUGAGUUCGAUCCCUGGUACCGAUAAAAAUGAAAAAGACAAAAAAAAAAAAAAAAAAAAAAAGAAAGAAAAAGAAAAUGCUUCAUGCUUCAACAAUAUAAUUUUAUAAAUCUUUGAGCUUCCAAACAUCUUGAGAAGAAUUUAGAUGACUCUUGAAGUUGGAUCAGUAAGUGGUAAGUGUGUUGAAAAGUAAGCAGUAAGUAUUAACACAAAGGGGAAACACAAAGUUGUGCAGAAAAAGGAAUAUAAAUCAUAGCAUAACUUCUGACUCAGUUCUGAAUAAUGUCUAAAAAGUCAUCAGGAUGUAAAUACUGAAUAUUUCUAACCAAAAUUACUCUAUGAUGAUUGAGAAGAUAGGGUACUGGAAAGGACCGUGUGUAGGGUAGAGAAGAAAGUCCAAUCUUUUUUUGUUCAUGGAUGGAAAUUUAAUGUCUAAGCCAGUGGCCUCUUCUGGUUUUGGACUCUGUUGUGCUUGGAUGAGGAGUUACUAGAGGAGCUAAGAGCCUGACGGUGAGGGUGACACACUGAGAACAGCUGAUGAAAGCAGAGUUAAGGUCCUUGAUGAUUUACUACUGGAUUAACCAAGCUCAGGACUGGUCCAGCUCCAGGCCACGUGGUGGGAAGACCUCAGUGACAACACUGUGAACACCUGUGGUUUCUACCUUCAAGUGCUUUGCACACCAACUUCCCUAAGUUGGUGUAUCAUCUGAGCAAGGCAUGCAAAACUCUAGAAGCAAAGUGAACGUUAAUGAUAAGGUACACAAUUAUUAAGCACUGACAAUGUACCAUGUCUUUUAGGCUAUCUGAAGACUUUCAAACUACGUGUUACUGCCUAUGUGUUGUAAUUUCCCCCCCAAAAAACAAGGCCCCAUCAUGAAAAAUGGGGCAAGACCCCCGAGAUGAUAAAUGGGGCAAGAUGACGUCUUUUUUUUUUUCUUUUUCCUGGUACCGGGGAUCAAACUCACGACUGCCUGCUUGCAAUGCAGGCACUUAUGCCGCUGAGCUAAAUCCCCAGUCCCCGAUGAUGUCUUUUUUUAAAAGAAGCGCUUUUAUUUUAGCUGGUCCAGCAAUACAGUGCAGAUGGAAUUUGCAAAGCUGUGCAACUGAAUUAGAAUUUUGAUUGAUUUUUAUAGUUCAUUUAUGAUUAGCUCAUUGAUCAUUAAGUACAUAGUGAUGAGAAACAGAAAUAAGGUGGGCCUUUGUUCCCCUUUUCUUGAAGUCAGAGGCAUUUCACGGUGGGUGGUUAGCCAAUUCAUAGCCCUUGGUGUGCCAAUUCCAGGAACAUUUGUCUCUCAUAAAGGGAACAAUGGUUGACACAGCAUCAUUUGUCUCUUACAAGGGGAACAAAAUUUUGUUGACACAGCAAACAGGUUACUAAGGUGUGUGUGUGGGGGGGACGAUGCAUACAGAACCGCGUGACAACACAGUCAGUUACUUUAUAACAAAUUUAUAACAAUGUGGUUAGUGCUCCAGGUACAUGGUUACUAGGGUGAUCAGCAUAGAGCAUAACGCUAUGGUUUUGAAUUUUUGCAUUCACAGAACUACUGAAAGAAAAGGUGAUUUUACUGAAAAUAGCUCCUCUUGUUUGUGGUGUUGGGGGUUGAACCCACAUCCUUCACUGAGUUAUAUGGCUAGCCCAGUUUUAAUUUUUGUUUUUGAGACGGGUCUCGCUGAAUCUCUGAAUCAUCUAGGCUAGGCUUGAAUUUGUGAUUUUCUUGUCUCAGCCUUCCAAAGUGUUGGAAUUACCGUGCCGUACUACCUGGUAGAAGUUUAUACUUUAAAAAAACAGUUUUGUGAUGUGAAAAGUUAGCAUUCAACAGAAGCAUAUUAUGAUCUGCCAGUUACUUCAGAAAUACUAAAGAAAUGAGUAAAGCCAUAUAAAUUUUUAUGAAGACUUUGAAGUAGGUACAAUGGCAAAACACACAAAAAAUUGUGCUUAACCUCAUAGGAGAAAAUGCAAUAACAAUGCAGAGAGGUAGGGUUAAAAUAUAUUGAAACUUAACUUUAAAAUAAAUGCGUUAUGAUCAAAAAGUAUUGAAACUAAUUUUAUAGAUAUGUUUGCUGCUAUUGGUGAAGAUUCAAAAAAGCUCACUCAAUCUCUAAUCCUUUUCAUAAGAAUUUAAAAAGGAACUCACUUGCAAUCUAAUAUACAAUAGGCACUAUACUUGCAUUGUUUAAGGAGGUUCAUUGUUUAAUGGGGUAAUAUUACUUUCCGCAUUUAUCUUAAAUCAAGUACCUUAUACAUGUAAGAUUUGAAUCCAAAUAAGCAAAUGAAUACUUGAGUGUUUUGGAAUAGAUUUUUAUAUUAAAUAUUUCAGUGUAGGUGUGUUAGUGUGGGCGAGCCUUUUCUGAUUAUGGGCGCACAUAUUCCAGAGACCCAGAACUUUGCAUUCUUCAGAGCCCUAUUAUCUGUCCUUAUGCACAGAUGUAGUUGCCCCUAGAAUGGAUGUGCUAUGUAAAUACUGUCUUCAUUAUUGUUUUGGGAUUUUAAGGUAUUCUGUCUGGAGCAUUUCCAUGUAUUCUUCACGUCAUGAAGCCUGGUUUUGAAGCAUGUACCCAGAGACCAAGGAGCGUACCUAUCUUCCAUGCUUCUUAUGAUCUUCCAUGAGCUUGGCUAAUCAUUCAUAUGACCUCUGGGUAAGAAAGCCUUACCAGAGUGGUAAGGAGUGAGCAGGAGGAAGAAAUGUUCACACUGCACUCAGGUGUGGAGCCUGAAAAUUGUCGGAGCCAAGUACACAGGGCAAGGCCUCUCCAUACUGAACACAGAGACUUGCAGUCUAGAUUCUGUUGGUACAGUCACAGUUUACCCACCACCUUCCAAAGAUAUUUUAUUUGCUUGUCAAGGAAUUGGUGCAAAGUAGCCUGUGAACAAUAUCCAGCAUGUUUCUGAUCAACCCCCAAAUGGGACUGGAAAGCAUCAUACAAGAUUGGGCUGUCUAUAAGUGAUAUGUGAGAACACCAGCAUAGAAAGCUUUUAUGUCCAUUUCAGUUAUUUGAUCUCUGCCAGUUAAGAUGUGUAUCCUCCCUGCCCUGACAUCUGAAGUGAAAUAAACUAUCUCCAUCCCUUGGGGAAAUGGACAUGUCAAAGGAACAUGGAGACUAGAAGUGGAGAAAUGUUAACAUAAUAACAAAUAAUUAAAAAUGCAAUUUAAUAAACCAGAGCCAUGAAUUCA